RNAcentral lists this non-coding RNA (111 nucleotides) under Croceibacter atlanticus HTCC2559. Its description in RNAcentral is "6S-Flavo RNA". It matches the Rfam family "6S-Flavo RNA". RNAcentral also lists the same sequence under 3 other names. Lineage: Bacteria; Pseudomonadati; Bacteroidota; Flavobacteriia; Flavobacteriales; Flavobacteriaceae. The record is from Rfam by way of RNAcentral.
ACUUAACAAUCAAUUAUUUGAAAAGGGUAAGUUUUAAUUGUAAAAACAAGCCGUCUUAGAACGGAAGUUUGAUCAGUUAUGUAGCCCUAAACUUUAUUAUUUAUGAAGUUU